Molecule: ribosomal RNA, 482 nt
Filed under: uncultured bacterium
Lineage: Bacteria
Description: partial 16S ribosomal RNA
Rfam family: Bacterial small subunit ribosomal RNA
Source: RNAcentral
AUUGAACGCUGGCGGCAUGCCUUACACAUGCCAGUCGAACGGUAACAGGUCUUCGGAUGCUGACGAGUGGCGAACGGGUGCGUAAUACAUCGGAACGUGCCCGAUCGUGGGGGAUAACGAGGCGAAAGCUUUGCUAAUACCGCAUACGAUCUACGGCUGAAAGCGGGGGAUCUUCGGACCUCGCGCGGCCGGAGCGGCCGAUGGCAGAUUAGGUAGGUGGUGGGAUAAAAGCUUACCAAGCCGACGAUCUGUAGCUGGUCUGAGAGGAUGAUCAGCCACACUGGAACUGAGACACGGCCCAGACUCCUACGGGAGGCAGCAGUGGGGAAUUUUAGACAAUGGGCGAAAGCCUGAUCCAGCCAUGCCGCGUGCAGGAUGAAGGCCUUCGGGUUGUAAACUGCUUUUGUACGGAACGAAAAGCCUCUUUCUAAUAAAGAGGGGUCAUGACGGUACCGUAAGAAUAAGCACCGGCUAACUACGUG